UACCUGCAGCUCGAGUGGUAACCGCUAUUAUUGGGCCUAAAGCGUCCGUAGCCGGUUUGGUAAAUAUCUGGGUAAAUCGUGAGGCUUAACUUCACGAAUUUCGGAUAGACUGCCAGACUUGGGAUCGGGGGAGGUCAGAGGUACUCCAGGGGUAGCGGUGAAAUGUUGUAAUCCUUGGAGGACCACCGGUAGCGAAGGCGUCUGACUAGAACGAGUCCGACGGUGAGGGACGAAGCCCUGGGGCGCAAACCGGAUUAGAUACCCGGGUAGUCCAGGGUGUAAACUAUGUGGGCUUUGUAUUGGAGGUCCCACGUGGGCGUCCAGUGCAGAAGAGAAGUUGUUAAGCCCACCGCCUGGGAAGUACGGUCGCAAGGCUGAAACUUAAAGGAAUUGGCGGGGAGCACAGCAACGGGAGGAGCGUGCGGUUU
This 428-nucleotide ribosomal RNA is filed under the name uncultured archaeon. RNAcentral describes it as "bacterial SSU rRNA". It matches the Rfam family "Archaeal small subunit ribosomal RNA", at positions 474 to 903 of the family's 1478-position model. The record is from RNAcentral.